This 468-nucleotide ribosomal RNA is filed under the name uncultured bacterium. Its description in RNAcentral is "partial 16S ribosomal RNA". It matches the Rfam family "Bacterial small subunit ribosomal RNA", at positions 28 to 507 of the family's 1533-position model. The record is from RNAcentral.
GACGAACGCUGGCGGCGUGCUUAACACAUGCAAGUCGAACGGAAAGGCCCUGCUUUUGUGGGGUGCUCGAGUGGCGAACGGGUGAGUAACACGUGAGUAACCUGCCCUUGACUUUGGUAUAACUUCAGGAAACUGGGGCUAAUACCGGAUAGGAGCUCCUGCUGCAUGGUGGGGGUUGGAACGUUUCGGCGGUUGGGGAUGGACUCGCGGCUUAUCAGCUUGUUGGUGGGGUAGUGGCUUACCAAGGCUUUGACGGGUAGCCGGCCUGAGAGGGUGACCGGCCACAUUGGGACUGAGAGACGGCCCAGACUCCUACGGGAGGCAGCAGUGGGGAAUAUUGCACAAUGGGCGGAAGCCUGAUGCAGCAACGCCGCGUGCGGGAUGACGGCCUUCGGGUUGUAAACCGCUUUAGCCUGUGACGAAGCGGGAGUGACGGUAAUGGGUAAAGAAGCACCGGCUAACUACGUG